AUUAGGUUUGGGGAUAUGAUUACUAUUUGCAGUGAUUUUCACUCGUAUUACUUAAGCACAUACCUAUUAUAAAUUUAUACCAACAAGGAAAGUGGUGAUCGAUCGGACNNNNNNNNAGGAGAUGGAAUACUACUACGUGCUUGGGGUCAGCCCCACCGCCACUGAGGCGGAGAUCAAGAAAGCUUAUUACAUCAAGGCGCGACAGGUUCAUCCAGAUAAAAAUCCCAAUGAUCCUCUUGCUGCACAAAA
This 249-nucleotide unclassified non-coding RNA is filed under the name Hevea brasiliensis (rubber tree). The record is from RNAcentral. Lineage: Eukaryota; Viridiplantae; Streptophyta; Magnoliopsida; Malpighiales; Euphorbiaceae.